Hemicordylus capensis (graceful crag lizard) is the source of this 415-nucleotide long non-coding RNA. RefSeq lists it as uncharacterized. The record is from RefSeq and is a predicted model, not a curated record. NCBI's taxonomy places the organism in Eukaryota, Metazoa, Chordata, Lepidosauria, Squamata, Cordylidae. The transcript has 2 exons.
CUGACAGUUGCUCCUCCUCCAGCCAAUCGAGGGGCCUUGCUGCUUGCCUCACCCUUUGCAACACUUGGUGGUAGCUGUACUCAUUCUGCAUCUGUACUUCUCUUCUUUUCAGUACUGGAGAUGCUUAGAGUUUGAACCUAUUGUUAUAUCUACUGAACAGAUUGAUCUCCGUGAAGGAAGAUAUGAACUUUACAAGUCAAGCAUCCUGAUCCAUACAUAUUGAUGCAGAAAUGAGUCCCAAGGGAACGUAUGGUCGUGGCCUAUAGCCUACUUAAGCAACUGUGAAACACUUAAGGUUCAACAAGGGAGAAGAAAUGCAAAUUAAAAAGAUUCUAGGAAACAGAACUUCAGUUGUAAAAGUGCUGAAUUUUAGCAAGAUCUAGAGCAGUGGAAAGUAAAUUCCAUCUUGUUUGUU